UAAAAUAACAAUUAUGUUUAUUUAAAUGAAGAGAAAUAAAAUAAUAAUUUAUUAUUUUUUCCAAUCUUUCAUCUUUUUCCAAAAUGACUCUAUUAUAAAAUCCAUUAAUUAAAUAUUAUAAUAAGUAAAUUGAUUAUAAUUCCUCCAAUAAUUCUUUUCUACCCAAUGUCAAAAUUGAACUUUAAAAAUAUUUUUUACCUGUUAUGUAAAUAUACUAUUUAUAUUAUAGUGAAUUAUCUUUAAUCAUUAUUAUUACUAAUAUAUAAAUAAUAAAUAAUUUUGCGCCCCGAUUCGUGGGUCCCUCGCCCCGGCGCCCCAUCGCCCCGCGACCCGGGGUCCAGCCUCAUCGCCCCGGACCGACCCGCGACCCUAACAACACUGGUGGCUGCUGCACUCUGCAGAAAUGCAGUUGUGUACUCGUGCAUUUAUUGGCCUCUUUUGUUAUCAGUUUGCAGGGUGCUUUAGCUCCCACUUGUGACUGCAUACUCACUUAAAUUUGUGUACCCUUUUCGCAGGUACCAGCUGGAGUGCAGGUGGUUAGGAUUGGAGUGGAAUUGCUUUGGUUCUAUCUGUGAUUUGCUGCACUCGGCAGCCUGUGGUGUCCUGCCACUCGCAGCCUGCCAUCUUACUUCUUUUAGCAAGUUUUGGUCUCCAACUCUAAGUUUGAGAGGCUAAUUGCCUUCGUCCACCAAUACACCGUCUCGGCCCAAACUUCUGUCGGUAGACGAGCCGAUGGCCGGUGCUAAACGUGCCGAAGCUAGCUCUCUUCUUCCCCAUCGCAUUGUAAUAGAGUAGUUUGACUUUAAAUUUUCUAUCUUCGUUCCAACGUGUAUGUAAAACUCAAUAAUAGUUGGUGUGUAUUUUCUUUCAAACAUUUGUAAUUUAUUAGCUUGAAAUUCUAUGUAUUGUAUUUCUUUUACUCAAGAAAUAAAAUAAUACUCUUUCAUUCUCA
Molecule: long non-coding RNA, 952 nt
Organism: Salvia splendens (bonfire salvia)
Lineage: Eukaryota; Viridiplantae; Streptophyta; Magnoliopsida; Lamiales; Lamiaceae
Exons: 2
Source: RefSeq, a predicted model, not a curated record